This 200-nucleotide unclassified non-coding RNA is filed under the name Hevea brasiliensis (rubber tree). Lineage: Eukaryota; Viridiplantae; Streptophyta; Magnoliopsida; Malpighiales; Euphorbiaceae. The record is from RNAcentral.
ACAAAAUAUGAAGAACAAACCUUUGAAAAAGCUUACAUAUAGGCAUGACAGAUCCAUCACUACAAUUGACAGCAAUAUGAAUUUUGCUUCAAAGACCAUCAUAGUAACCUCCAUAAGUUAUGUGAGCUCUAGAAAUGGGAACUCCUCUUACUGUUGUAAUUGCUUCAUUGAAUUUUGUUGCAUGGUGAACCACUUGCUUG